Molecule: ribosomal RNA, 253 nt
Filed under: uncultured bacterium
Lineage: Bacteria
Description: partial 16S ribosomal RNA
Rfam family: Bacterial small subunit ribosomal RNA
Source: RNAcentral
UACGAAGGGGAUUAGCGUUGUUCGGAAUUACUGGGCGUAAAGCGCACGUAGGCGGAUUUGUUAGUCAGGGGUGAAAUCCCGGGGCUCAACCUCGGAACUGCCUUUGAUACUGCAAGUCUCGAGUCCGAUAGAGGUGGGUGGAAUUCCUAGUGUAGAGGUGAAAUUCGUAGAUAUUAGGAAGAACACCGGUGGCGAAGGCGGCCCACUGGAUCGGUACUGACGCUGAGGUGCGAAAGCGUGGGGAGCAAACAGG